GUGCCAGCAGCUGCGGUAAGACGGAGGGGCAAGCGUUGUUCGGAAUUAUUGGGCGUAAAGGGCUCGUAGGCGGAUCUGUAAGUCUGACGUGAAAUCUACACCGCUCACCGGGUAGCUUGCGUUGGAUACUGCAGAUCUGGAGUUCGGUAGAGGAUCGUGGAAUUUCGGGUGUAGCGGUGGAAUGCGUAGAUAUCCGAAAGAACACCGGUGGCGAAGGCGGCGAUCUGGGCCUGAACUGACGCUGAGGAGCGAAAGCCAAGGGAGCAAACGGGAUUAGAUACCCCGGUAGUCCUGGCUGUAACGGUGGAUACGUAGGUGUGGGUGGUAU
RNAcentral lists this ribosomal RNA (328 nucleotides) under uncultured bacterium. RNAcentral describes it as "bacterial SSU rRNA". It matches the Rfam family "Bacterial small subunit ribosomal RNA", at positions 505 to 832 of the family's 1533-position model. The record is from RNAcentral.